RNAcentral lists this ribosomal RNA (509 nucleotides) under uncultured Bacillus sp. RNAcentral's name for it is "bacterial SSU rRNA". It matches the Rfam family "Bacterial small subunit ribosomal RNA", at positions 993 to 1503 of the family's 1533-position model. Lineage: Bacteria; Bacillati; Bacillota; Bacilli; Caryophanales; Bacillaceae. The record is from RNAcentral.
GACAACCCUAGAGAUAGGGCUUCUCGUUCGGGAGCAGAGUGACAGGUGGUGCAUGGUGUCGUCAGCUCGUGUCGUGAGAUGUUGGGUUAAGUCCCGCAACGAGCGCAACCCUUGAUCUUAGUUGCCCAUCAUUAAGUUGGGCACUCUAAGGUGACUGCCGGUGACAAACCGGAGGAAGGUGGGGAUGACGUCAAAUCAUCAUGCCCCUUAUGACCUGGGCUACACACGUGCUACAAUGGACGGUACAAAGAGCUGCAAGACCGCGAGGUGGAGCUAAUCUCAUAAAACCGUUCUCAGUUCGGAUUGUAGGCUGCAACUCGCCUACAUGAAGCUGGAAUCGCUAGUAAUCGCGGAUCAGCAUGCCGCGGUGAAUACGUUCCCGGGCCUUGUACACACCGCCCGUCACACCACGAGAGUUUGUAACACCCGAAGUCGGUGGGGUAACCUUUUUGGAGCCAGCCGCCUAAGGUGGGACAGAUGAUGGGGUGAAGUCGUAACAAGGUAACCUA